UACGUAGGGGGCAAGCGUUGUCCGGAUUUAUUGGGCGUAAAGAGCUCGUAGGUGGUUCGGUAAGUCGGAUGUGAAAUCUCCAGGCUCAACCUGGAGGGGUCAUUCGAUACUGCCGUGACUAGAGGUCGGUAGGGGAGUGUGGAAUUCCUGGUGGAGCGGUGAAAUGCGCAGAUAUCAGGAGGAACACCCGUGGCGAAAGCGGCUCUCUGGAACGGUACUGACGCUGAGACGCGAAAGCGUGGGGAGCGAACAGG
This 254-nucleotide ribosomal RNA is filed under the name uncultured bacterium. Its description in RNAcentral is "partial 16S ribosomal RNA". It matches the Rfam family "Bacterial small subunit ribosomal RNA", at positions 524 to 776 of the family's 1533-position model. The record is from RNAcentral.